RNAcentral lists this ribosomal RNA (460 nucleotides) under uncultured bacterium. RNAcentral's name for it is "partial 16S ribosomal RNA". It matches the Rfam family "Bacterial small subunit ribosomal RNA", at positions 338 to 795 of the family's 1533-position model. The record is from RNAcentral.
CCUACGGGUGGCAGCAGUGAGGAAUAUUGGUCAAUGGGCGAGAGCCUGAACCAGCCAAGUCGCGUGAAGGAUGACGGCCCUACGGGUUGUAAACUUCUUUUGUCAGGGAGCAAUUGGGUCCACGCGUGGGCUUAGCGAGAGUACCUGAAGAAAAAGCAUCGGCUAACUCCGUUCCAGCAGCCGCGGUAAUACGGAGGAUGCGAGCGUUAUCCGGAUUUAUUGGGUUUAAAGGGUGCGUAGGCGGAAUAUCAAGUCAGCGGUAAAAAUUCGGGGCUCAACCCCGUCGUGCCGUUGAAACUGAUGUUCUUGAGUGGGCGAGAAGUAUGCGGAAUGCGUGGUGUAGCGGUGAAAUGCAUAGAUAUCGCGCAGAACUCCGAUUGCGAAGGCAGCGUACCGGCGCCAGACUGACGCUGAGGCACGAAAGCGUGGGGAUCGAACAGGAUUAGAUACCCCGGUAGUC